Molecule: ribosomal RNA, 253 nt
Filed under: uncultured bacterium
Lineage: Bacteria
Description: partial 16S ribosomal RNA
Rfam family: Bacterial small subunit ribosomal RNA
Source: RNAcentral
UACGUAGGGUGCGAGCGUUAAUCGGAAUUACUGGGCGUAAAGCGUGCGCAGGCGGCGGCACAAGUCAGGUGUGAAAUCCCCGGGCUUAACCUGGGAAUUGCGCUUGAAACUAGGUCGCUAGAGUGUGGCAGAGGGGGGUGGAAUUCCACGUGUAGCAGUGAAAUGCGUAGAGAUGUGGAGGAACACCGAUGGCGAAGGCAGCCCCCUGGGUCAACACUGACGCUCAUGCACGAAAGCGUGGGGAGCAAACAGG